CCUACGGGGGGCAGCAGUGAGGAAUAUUGGUCAAUGGUCGGGAGACUGAACCAGCCAAGCCGCGUGUGGGAUGAAGGUACAGAGUAUCGUAAACCUCUUUUGUCAGGGAACAAAGGCGGGGACGUGUCCCCGGAUGAGUGUACCUGAAGAAAAAGCAUCGGCUAACUCCGUGCCAGCAGCCGCGGUAAUACGGAGGAUGCGAGCGUUAUCCGGAUUUAUUGGGUGAAAGGGGGGCGCAGGGGGUGUGUUAAGGCAGGGGUAAAAGCCCGGGGCUCAACCCCGGCUCGCCGUUGAAACUGGGAGUCUCGAGUUGGAGAGAAGUAUGCGGAAUGCGCGGUGUAGCGGUGAAAUGCAUAGAUAUCGGGCAGAACUCCGAUUGCGAAGGCAGCAUGCCGGCUCCACACUGACGCUGAGGCACGAAAGCGUGGGUAUCGAACAGGAUUAGAUACCCGGGUAGUC
Molecule: ribosomal RNA, 459 nt
Filed under: uncultured bacterium
Lineage: Bacteria
Description: partial 16S ribosomal RNA
Rfam family: Bacterial small subunit ribosomal RNA
Source: RNAcentral